AUACGGAGGGUGCAAGCGUUAAUCGGAAUUACUGGGCGUAAAGGGCGCGUAGGCGGUCUAUCAAGUCAGGUGUGAAAUCCCACGGCUCAACCGUGGAGGUGCAUCUGAAACUGAUAGACUUGAGUAUGGGAGAGGAAAGUGGAAUUCCCGGUGUAGGGGUGAAAGUCGUAGAUAUCGGGAGGAACACCAGUGGCGAAGGCGACUUUCUGGACCAAUACUGACGCUGAGGCGCGAAAGCGUGGGGAGCAAACAGGAUUAGAAACCCUUGUAGUCC
RNAcentral lists this ribosomal RNA (274 nucleotides) under uncultured bacterium. RNAcentral describes it as "partial 16S ribosomal RNA". It matches the Rfam family "Bacterial small subunit ribosomal RNA", at positions 523 to 796 of the family's 1533-position model. The record is from RNAcentral.